Molecule: long non-coding RNA, 2152 nt
Filed under: Ananas comosus (pineapple)
Lineage: Eukaryota; Viridiplantae; Streptophyta; Magnoliopsida; Poales; Bromeliaceae
Description: long non-coding RNA (ACOM_LNC033523)
Source: RNAcentral
CGUUGAUACCGUUCAUUUAUUUCUAUUUAACUGCUUAGAUUUAAUUUUGUUUAAAUUGUGACCUGCAAUAUAUAGCAGGUCACUUUGAGAGAGGUACCGAUUAUCAGGUACCUCAAAAAAAGAAUAUUUUAGGUUUUUAAUAUAUGAUAAUUUAGUAAUUUUACCUCCAAUAUAUUAUCAAAUCUCUAUUCUCUCUUUGUUUCCUUUUUCUCUCUCUAUCUUUCUUCUCCAUCCGCUAAAAAAGGGUAGGAUUCGAAGCGGAUUUUGAAAAAUCCGAACCUAAACUCGACUAUAUAUCAAAUCCAAAAUCCAAACCCGAAUCCGAUGAAUUUUAGAAAAUCAUAUCCAUACCCGUACCUGGCUAGAAAUUCAAAACCCAAACCUGAAAAUCCAAACCCUAAACAUUUAUUCUUUUUACAAUAUUUUAAAAUAUAUUAAAUUAAAUCUAAAUUUUAAAAAUACAUAUUCAAAUAUAACAUCAAACAUUUAUGUGUAUUAUAUAUAAUGUAAAAUAAAUUCGGAUUCCGGUUUGUUCCGGGUUCGAAUCAGAUACAAUCGAAAUCCAUACCAGAAUUUAAAUCCGCCGGAUUUUUAUUUUUGAUAUUCGUAUCCAAAACUAUAUCCAUUUAGUAUAGGUAAAUCUACUGCGUUUGCUUUCGGGUUUGGAUUCGAAUUCAGAUAAAAUUAUAGUAUCCGUAUCCAUUCCGUAUCCAUUGACAUCCGUAAUCCACAUAUAUUUGUCAUAUUCGUAAUCUACAGAUAUUUCAUUAAAAAAUAUUACAACAUAUUAAAUACGUUGAAUUUUGUCUACAUUCAAAAUUUUUUAAAGUUUGCGAUAAAAAAUUAAUAUCUAAACGAGAGAAAUUUAAAAACUUUUUAAAACAAAUUAAAUAUGAUGAAUCGUUAUUAUCAACAUUAAAUUUGUUAAAAUAGUAACACAAAAUUUCUCUUAGGGCCCGUUUGGUUCGAGUUAUGUAAUAUUACAAAGUAUCUCGACAUAUCCAGGUAUUUUGGAUUUCGGCGUAAGAUUACUACUGAUGCCGCAUUAGCGCGUUUGGUUUAAUGCAGUAAUGUAAUACUAAAUUACACUGUUUAUAGCAUUAAUAUGUUUGGUUCAGUUUUUAAAAUUUAGUAAUCCUGACAUAAAAGUAUAGUUUUUUUCAAAAUUAUCCUUGUUGUGGUCAUUUGAAUAUUAUUUUUUGCGGAAAUGACAAAUGGAGGGAAGGAGAUCAUAAUGAUUACCUGGGAGGACGACGCAAUAGAAGAUGAUAGGUGUUCGUACGCGCGCACACGAGAGAGAGAGAGAGAGAGAGAGAGAGAGAGAGAGAGAGAGAGAGAGAGAGACGUUGAGAGAGAGAGAGCGAGAGAAAGCGGCGUGCGAGAGAGGGGGGAAGGAGAGAGAGAGAGAUGAAAAUAAUACUGUUAAUUAGAUUUAGGGUUGUUGGAGGGUAAAAUUAUCAUUUUACAUAAUAUGUAGUAUUAACGGGUUUUAGUAAUGCAAGAUACACGACCCCCCUCCCGUUAAUAUUUUCGAUGUAAUCCUGCUCGAUUUGUAAUGCUACAUUAACGACUAGAUUACAUAGCGGAUUAACCAAGCACAGUUAUCCUGGCAGGAUUGCCUGUAAUCCUGCCAGGAUAACUCGAACCAAACGCACCCUUAUUUACAUUUAACGUUUUAAAUUUAAAAUAUUAAAUAUUUAAAUUCAACAUAUUUGGAAAUAUUACAAUUUCUAAAAUUCCUAAAAUUUAAAUUAAUGCCUAAAUUAGAAGAAUUCUAAAAUUUCUAAAAUUAAUGCCUAAAAUUUGGGAUAUCAAUCAAAUAUUAAAUUAAUGCUUAAAUUAGUGCAAAUUAAUACUAAAUUUUAGGAAUUUUAGAAAUUGUAAUAUNUUUUAGUUUUUAAAUUUUUUUUGUAUCUGUUGACCCGCUCCUCCCUCUCUUUUUUUCCCUUUCCUCUUCUAAUAUUUUUUUCCCUUUUCCCUCUCUUUUCUAAUCUUUUUUGUUUUGUUUCGUAUAAUUUUAGAUCCCAUUCAAAAAUUAAAAAAAUAAAUUUAAAAAUUAAAUUUUAAUCCGUUUCGGUGCUAUUUACUAUAUAGUUUAAAAUUUUUAAAAUUUAUAUAAAUUUCCCGCUGCGUAGCGCGGGCCUUCACUAGU